UGGCAUCCUGUGGAAAGUAAUCCUUUUCCAUAUCAGAAACACAAGAAACAGGGAGAGAAGAAAUAUCAACGUGGGAAGGUGCGACUGCAUUAUUAUUCACUUGCUGCCCAAAUUCUGCUCAGCACCUAUUGCACAAAAUGAAGCCAUCAGUUGCAAAGACCAGACACUCUGAAGAGGCACUGUAUAUAUGGAGGUACAAGGCCAGCCCCAUCUGUUCUGCUUGGUUACUUAUGGCACUGCCUCCAA
Molecule: long non-coding RNA, 246 nt
Filed under: Gallus gallus (chicken)
Lineage: Eukaryota; Metazoa; Chordata; Aves; Galliformes; Phasianidae
Source: RNAcentral